AUUGAACGCUGGCGGAAUGCUUUACACAUGCAAGUCGAACGGCAGCACGGGAGCUUGCUCCUGGUGGCGAGUGGCGAACGGGUGAGUAAUAUAUCGGAACGUAUCCAAUAAUGGGGGAUAACUAGUCGAAAGAUUAGCUAAUACCGCAUACGCCCUGAGGGGGAAAGCUGGGGAUCUUCGGACCUGGCGUUAAUGGAUCGGCCGAUAUCUGAUUAGCUAGUAGGUGAGGUAAAAGCUCACCUAGGCGACGAUCAGUAGCUGGUCUGAGAGGACGACCAGCCACACUGGAACUGAGACACGGUCCAGACUCCUACGGGAGGCAGCAGUGGGGAACUUUGGACAAUGGGCGCAAGCCUGAUCCAGCCAUUCCGCGUGAGUGAAGAAGGCCUUCGGGUUGUAAAGCUCUUUCGCAAGGGAAGAAAACUUAUCCUCUAACAUAGGAUGAGGUUGACGGUACCUUGAUAAGAAGCACCGGCUAACUACGUGCCAGCAGCCGCGGUAA
This 502-nucleotide ribosomal RNA is filed under the name uncultured bacterium. Its description in RNAcentral is "partial 16S ribosomal RNA". It matches the Rfam family "Bacterial small subunit ribosomal RNA", at positions 30 to 523 of the family's 1533-position model. The record is from RNAcentral.